RNAcentral lists this ribosomal RNA (795 nucleotides) under uncultured archaeon. RNAcentral describes it as "bacterial SSU rRNA". It matches the Rfam family "Archaeal small subunit ribosomal RNA", at positions 85 to 879 of the family's 1478-position model. The record is from RNAcentral.
ACGGCUCAGUAACACGUGGACAACCUACCCUGAGGUCGGGGAUAAACCCGGGAAACUGGGUAUAAUACCCGAUAGAUCUAGAUCGCUGGAAUGCUUUUAGGUCUAAAGUUCCGACGCCUCAGGAUGGGUCUGCGGCCUAUCAGGGUAGUAGUGGGUGUAAAGUACCUACUAGCCUACGACGGGUACGGGUUGUGAGAGCAAGAGCCCGGAGAUGGAUUCUGAGACACGAAUCCAGGCCCUACGGGGUACAGCAGGCGCGAAACCUUUACAAUGCUGGCAACAGCGAUAAGGGGACCUCGAGUGCUACGAUACAAUCGUGGCUGUCUAGUUGCCUAAAAAGCAAUUGAUAGCAAGGGCCGGGCAAGACCGGUGCCAGCCGCCGCGGUAACACCGGCGGCUCGAGUGGUAACCGCUAUUAUUGGGUCUAAAGGGUCUGUAGCCGGCUUAGUUAGUCUCUUGAGAAAUCUGGCCGCUCAACGGUCAGGCGUUCAGGGGAUACUGCUAAAGCUCGAGACCGGGAGAGGUGAGAGGUACUUCAGGGGUAGGGGUGAAAUCUUGUAAUCCUUGAAGGACCACCAGUGGCGAAGGCGUCUCACCAGAACGGAUCUGACGGCAAGGGACGAAAGCUAGGGGCACGAACCGGAUUAGAUACCCGGGUAGUCCUAGCCGUAAACGAUACUCGCUAGGUGUCGGCCACGGUGCGACCGUGGUCGGUGCCGUAGGGAAGCCGUGAAGCGAGCCACCUGGGAAGUACGGCCGCAAGGCUGAAACUUAAAGGAAUUGGCGGGGGAGCAC